Molecule: ribosomal RNA, 305 nt
Filed under: uncultured bacterium
Lineage: Bacteria
Description: bacterial SSU rRNA
Rfam family: Bacterial small subunit ribosomal RNA
Source: RNAcentral
CCUACGGGAGGCAGCAGUGGGGGAUAUUGCACAAUGGGGGGAACCCUGAUGCAGCGACGCCGCGUGAACGAAGAAAUAUUUCGGUAUGUAAAGUUCUAUCCUCCUUUAAGAAAAUCCGACUACCUGACCAAGAAGCCCCGGCUCCAUACGUGCCAGCAGCCGCGGUAAUACGUAGGGGGCGAGCGUUAUCCGGAUUCACUGGGCGUAAAGGGAGCGCAGGCGGCACGGCAAGUCCGUAGUCCACGCAACGGGCCCAACCACGGGACUGCACUGGAAACUGCCGGGCUGGAGCUCCUGAGGGGCAG